This is a long non-coding RNA of Alligator mississippiensis (American alligator), 3033 nucleotides long. RefSeq lists it as uncharacterized. The record is from RefSeq and is a predicted model, not a curated record. Lineage: Eukaryota; Metazoa; Chordata; Crocodylia; Alligatoridae. The transcript has 3 exons.
UCUUCCAUCUGCCCUGGGGGCUGCUAAGCACGUUUGAACCAGCUCCUCCUGUGCCUUGGCUGGGGGGUUCAGACAGGACUGAUCCUGCCCUGGGCAGGGGCUGGACUAGACGAGCCCUCCUGAGGGCCCUGCCAGCCCAGCUCUGCUAGGGCUGUCUGAUCUGCAUGGGGUCCUGCCCCAGCCUGCUGCAGACCCUGAAACUCUGUGCCCAUGACUCCUUGUGCCCAUCCGAGCCUUCAGCCAGUGACUGUCCAUGGAGAGGAGAAGGACCCGCUUGGUGUUAACCGUUUGGGGCAGAAUCAGAUCGUGCUUGGACACCUGAGGCCCAGUGAGAGGCCUUUUGUAGUCGGGGGAGGAGGGAGGGAGGGGAGGCAGGAUGUGGCCCAGGGUCCCUGCCCGACUGCCAUGUACAGGGCCUGGCACAAGCUGCUUUGUGAUGUAGCUCCCAUGUCACUCCAUCGCCACAGAGACCAGGGAUGGGCAGGGAAUAAAUCCUAGCCCCUGGUGCUUUCUGGUCAGUCUCAGCGCAACCCGAGAGACUCAGCUAAGGUGUAGGAAGAGGUUUGUUUGUUUGAGAGAGUUUAGAGUUUGGAGAUUAGAUUAUAUUAGAUUAGAUUAGACAGAUUAGUAGCCAGUAGAGAGUUGUAGAGAGUUUAGAGAUACUAGAGUAGAUAGUAGUUAGGAGAGCAGAUAGAAGGAGGAGAUAAACUUUAGAUAGAUAGAGUUGAAUAAAGUAGAUAGAAUAGAUAAUAGAUCUUAGUGAUGGUAGGUAGGGAAGAGCUCAGGUCCCCAUGGUCUUGGGGUCCCAGCACUUGGUAGCUCGCUCCCAUCACUCUCCCAUUUCCAACCAGCUGCUCUGGCCCAGGCGGCAGGGAGAGACGGCCGAGAGAUAGCCCAGCGAGGGUAAGGAGCCAGCAACACCUUGGGGGUUUGCAAGGAGGUGUGAGGCUGGCAUGGGAGUUCCUGGUGCUCCAGCCUCCUGCUGGCAUGAGGGUACUAUGUGCUUGUGGUGGUGGCCGGGGCUGCUCGUUCCCUGCUCCCUGCCCUCUUAGCUCUUCAGCCAGAGGCCUCUGGUCCAGCUGAGCGGCGCUUCACACCAUAAGGGAAGGAACUGGGAUGGCCACGAGACUUCCUGAGCUCUGUGACCGUGGCUGUGGUCUGUGGUUGGGGCAUGAACUGGCAGAGUCCUCCCCAGGGCCUUCUGCGUACCUGGGCAUGGGCUGAGCAGAGCUUUCCUGGAAGCAGAGAUGCUGUAGGCUGUUGAUGGGUGGGAGCUUCAGGAACCAUGGCUGGGUCAGCGCAGGCUUGGAAAAACCUGAAAGGUUCCCUGCAGGUGCACGAAGUGGCUUGCAGGCUGCUGGAGGAAAGGGAUGGCAAGGGGGCUUCUGCUGAGCAGCUCUUCUCCUCCAGCUGCCCCAACUGCAGAUACCCAGAGGAUCUGGGUUGCAGCUGACCCCACAGCCUCCUCCUGGCAGACAGAGGCUGACAAACAGACCGGUCUGGGUGCAGCCCCCCCUGCUGCUGCACUCACAGUGCCAACAGGAAGAGGGGGAAGACGUGGGGACCACUGAUGUGUGCAGGGCAAGAGCCAGGUGAGUGACUGUGAGGUGCUGGCAGAGCUCUGCCCUGAGCCUUGGACAUGCAGGUGAUAACCUGCUGAGCCCUCCCUACCCCAACCUGUCCCCUGGCCUGGCAUGCCUCCUGCAAGAAAAGCCUCACCUUGGCCAUGGGGACCAAUCCAGUCCUGGCCCAGCCUUCCCUGUGCCAUGCCCUGGCUGAGCGGUCUGAAAUCCUCUCCCCAAAGACCCCUGCAAUCCCUAGGUGCCCUGAGAGGCCAGGCUAGGACUCCUCUGGCUCCUGUCUCUGAGCAUCUCCCAGUACUGGGACCUCUGGUAUCUGUCUGAUAGAGAAGGGGAAAAGGAGGCAUGGACUAUGGAGGGCUUUGCCCACAAGCCCUGGGUUUGUACAGACGUGUGUGCUUGAGGGGUGGUAGCAUGGAGUUGCCCAUGUGCUCUGGGGACGCAUACAGAGGUACAAAGAUGUUCAUCUGGCAGAGAUGUGUGUGUCCAGUGGGGUGCAGUGUGUACAUAUACAUGUGAGCUCAUGCUGGUGGCUGGCCUGUGUGUGUGCAUGCAUGUGAGGCCGUGUCCCCAGCAGGCACUCGCUGCUCCUCACAAUGACUCUCCCAUUCUUCCCCUCAACAGCUGCUGCGCCCCGAGACUCUGUGGCACAGACAGAAGCUGCCCACACUGGCCGUGCAGGGAGUGGUAGGUCCCCCAACUGGCAGUGCCCCAGGGCAGGGGCGGGCCAAAUCCAGGGGCUUCCAGGCCUCCCUUAUGGGCUCCCAGAUGUGAGGGGCUCGGACCCUCGGUGUCAGUGGAGGGCACUGCUGCAUGGCGACUGUCCCCUCUCCUUCUCUCCUAGGGCCUGGACAGAAGCCCUAAGAGCAGGGUCAUGGUGGAGGCUCCACAGAAGAGAGCUGUGGCUCAGAGCAACCCAGCGCCCCGCACACACCAGCAGGGCCUGGGAAGAUGGACACAUUGGAUACAUCCUGCGCUGAAGUCCUUUGCGCCCCAAGAUCUCAUCCACGAGAGAGCAGGGCCCAGAGCAACCCCUAAUCUGUCCAUCAGGGGAGAGAGCCUGGCAGCACUGUGGUGGCACCGUGGAGGUCUUGCUGACCUCUCUCCUCCCAAGCCUGGAGCACUGGCCCUGCCAGCACCAAGCAGGAAACACGGGAAGGAAGACCUGCAAGUUCAGCCCCAAGCUACCAUCUAUGCAGCCGAGGGAGAAGCAGAGGAAAAUACCAAAAUCAGCUGCCCCUCCGUUUCCAGCAAAUGACACCAGGACUGGAAGUAGUCAAUGACAAGAGGAAGCACCGGCUCCUCGCUUAUCCCCAACGAAAGCGUACCCACAAGGCAGCAGAGUUUUUUUGUAUCGUAUUUUAUAUCAAAUAGAAAUCUUUACUAUUUCAAAGGAAAUACACAGCAGACUGUUAAUGAUAUCGCCUGAGUCAUUACCACUGUCACGUGAUUA